Molecule: ribosomal RNA, 253 nt
Filed under: uncultured bacterium
Lineage: Bacteria
Description: partial 16S ribosomal RNA
Rfam family: Bacterial small subunit ribosomal RNA
Source: RNAcentral
UACGUGGGGGGCAAGCGUUGUUCGGAAUUACUGGGCGUAAAGGGCGCGUAGGCGGCCUUCUAAGUCGGACGUGAAAUCCCUCGGCUUAACCGAGGAACUGCGUCCGAGACUGAAAGGCUUGAAUCCGGGAGAGGGAUGUGGAAUUCCAGGUGUAGCGGUGAAAUGCGUAGAUAUCUGGAGGAACACCGGUGGCGAAGGCGGCAUCCUGGACCGGCAUUGACGCUGAGGCGCGAAAGCUAGGGGAGCAAACGGG